GCCGGAAUAGCUCAGUUGGUAGAGCAGAGGACUGAAAAUCCUCGUGUCACCAGUUUG
This 57-nucleotide transfer RNA is filed under the name Hygrobiella nishimurae. RNAcentral describes it as "partial tRNA-Phe". It matches the Rfam family "tRNA", at positions 1 to 55 of the family's 71-position model. Rfam says of the family: Transfer RNA (tRNA) molecules are approximately 80 nucleotides in length. Their secondary structure includes four short double-helical elements and three loops (D, anti-codon, and T loops). The record is from RNAcentral. Lineage: Eukaryota; Viridiplantae; Streptophyta; Jungermanniopsida; Jungermanniales; Hygrobiellaceae.